This 21-nucleotide microRNA is filed under the name Mus musculus (house mouse). RNAcentral's name for it is "piRNA piR-mmu-49926229". Lineage: Eukaryota; Metazoa; Chordata; Mammalia; Rodentia; Muridae. The record is from RNAcentral. RNAcentral also lists the same sequence under 1 other name.
AAGGCACGCGGUGAAUGCCAA